GAGUUCAGUCUUCCCAGGCCCACCACUUUCAUCGAGUGAGCAUUCGUCUUCUGGUUACGGGGCCAUAGCUCAGCUGGGAGAGCGCGUGCUUUGCAAGCAUGAGGUCGUCGGUUCGAUCCCGUCUGGCUCCACCAGAUGGUUUGAUCACCGAGAUCUUGACCGUCGUCCGCGAAACAUCACUUCGCAUCCUGCUAGUCUGGAUAGACAGCAGUUUGCGUGUUUUCUGACAUCGUAAAGAGGAGAUCGAUCCGAGUUGGGUCGUGCAGCAUAUCGUUGCGCGAGCCUUCAUUAUCUCCGGAUCAUUUCGGCGCUCGCUUCCAGCCGUGAGGUUGGAUGCGGGUUGUAAAUGAUCCUUUUAGCGAAGCUUGACCGCCUCGCUAUCGGAACGAUCUUACGAAGCAAGCUGGUCUUUCUAGUCAAUGUCCGGCUGCGGAUAGCGUUCAUCGAGGGCGCGUGCCGCAAGGCAAUUCUGCAGACAACAUUCUGCCGAGUGUGUGGACAUUGAUAAUGAGAGCAAUCAAGUGCCUUAAGGGUGUUCGGUGGAUGCCUUGGCGCUGAGAGGCGAUGAAGGACGUGCUACGCUGCGAUAAGCCGUGGGGAGCUGCGAAGAAGCUUUGAUCCGCGGAUUUCCGAAG
Molecule: unclassified non-coding RNA, 635 nt
Filed under: Bradyrhizobium sp.
Lineage: Bacteria; Pseudomonadati; Pseudomonadota; Alphaproteobacteria; Hyphomicrobiales; Nitrobacteraceae
Description: partial 16S-23S ribosomal RNA intergenic spacer
Rfam family: Bacterial large subunit ribosomal RNA (bases 516-635)
Source: RNAcentral